ACUCCUACGGGAGGCAGCAGUGGGGAAUCUUGCACAAUGGGCGAAAGCCUGAUGCAGCGACGCCGCGUGCGGGAUGAAGGCCUUCGGGUUGUAAACCGCUUUCAGCAGGGACGAGGCCGCAAGGUGACGGUACCUGCAGAAGAAGCCCCGGCUAACUACGUGCCAGCAGCCGCGGUAAU
This 179-nucleotide ribosomal RNA is filed under the name uncultured Atopobium sp. Its description in RNAcentral is "partial 16S ribosomal RNA". It matches the Rfam family "Bacterial small subunit ribosomal RNA", at positions 335 to 524 of the family's 1533-position model. Lineage: Bacteria; Bacillati; Actinomycetota; Coriobacteriia; Coriobacteriales; Atopobiaceae. The record is from RNAcentral.